GAAUAGCUCAGUAGGUAAACCAUGAGACUCUUAAUCUCAGGGACGUUGGUUUGAGCCCCAUGUUGAACA
Molecule: transfer RNA, 69 nt
Filed under: Podarcis lilfordi (Lilford's wall lizard)
Lineage: Eukaryota; Metazoa; Chordata; Lepidosauria; Squamata; Lacertidae
Description: tRNA.Lys
Source: RNAcentral